UGCUUGGCAGUUGAGGUUACUAAAGGGAUCGGGUGGUCAGGGUCUCUGACUAGGUUGGCACGUGUCAUCACAUCCCAGCUACCUAGAUCAAUGCUCAUGCUGCUGAUUACUCUAUUGUAUGGUCCAGACUCGAUUAUUUACAGAUCGCCGCCAUGUAGCUAAAACGUUGCUGAGUGUGGCGUUAAUCAGCCGACCAGCAAACCAGCCUGACAUGAUCUGUGCAUCCAGAACUUCCUUGACAUCCUAGGCAUCUA
Molecule: long non-coding RNA, 254 nt
Organism: Haliotis rubra (blacklip abalone)
Lineage: Eukaryota; Metazoa; Mollusca; Gastropoda; Lepetellida; Haliotidae
Exons: 3
Source: RefSeq, a predicted model, not a curated record